UUAACUCAAAUUUGUAUGGAGAUGGACAGAGCUCCUACGUUAGCCGCUAGGGGCGCUGUACUAACUCCAUACAAAUUUGAGUUA
Molecule: non-coding RNA, 84 nt
Organism: Bombyx mori (domestic silkworm)
Lineage: Eukaryota; Metazoa; Arthropoda; Insecta; Lepidoptera; Bombycidae
Source: Rfam